Non-coding RNA from Trichonephila inaurata madagascariensis, 76 nucleotides. The record is from the annotation of a GenBank genome assembly. NCBI's taxonomy places the organism in Eukaryota, Metazoa, Arthropoda, Arachnida, Araneae, Nephilidae.
CCGUCGAUAGCUCCCGGGUUGGCAGAGCGGGGGACUGUAAAUCCAUAGGUCUUUGGUUCGACUCCCCUUCGGCGGA